UACGAACCGUGCGAACGUUAUUCGGAAUCACUGGGCUUAAAGCGCGUGUAGGCGGGCCGCCGCGUCGGCUGCUGAAAUCCCCCGGCUCAACCGGGGAACGGGCACCGAUACGGGCGGCCUCGAGGGGGGUAGGGGGGCCUGGAACUUCCGGUGGAGCGGUGAAAUGCGUUGAGAUCGGAAGGAACGCCCGUGGCGAAAGCGAGGCCCUGGACCCUUUCUGACGCUGAGACGCGAAAGCCAGGGGAGCGAACGGG
This 254-nucleotide ribosomal RNA is filed under the name uncultured bacterium. RNAcentral's name for it is "partial 16S ribosomal RNA". It matches the Rfam family "Bacterial small subunit ribosomal RNA", at positions 524 to 776 of the family's 1533-position model. The record is from RNAcentral.